CAGAUCUAGGAUAGGAUUACUUUACUCCCAUACUAUCCUUAAUCACCAGGGGAGUGAAAGGUAUCUGACUCCGUAUCAGUAGUUAGGCUAUAUGGAUAAUUUAUUGGAGACAGAAUGAAGUUUGCCAGUAGACAAGACAAGGUCGGUUUACCAUAUUGCAUCGAUUCUUGCUAUGAGCCACUUUACAAUUCAUACCAAAUUUGUUAACCUUAUGGUGUUUGCCUUUCAUGCCUGAGACACGGGUUCGCUUCCCGCUCCGUCAGUUCGCUACAAUGGUGUCAGAAGUGGAAUGGUGGCCGUGGGGUCAUCGAAGCGCACAGCCCGGUAUGUGUGAGGGAUGUGAGGGUCAACCAAAAACACUUGUAACGCCCGUCGGAAGAAGUGGACCAAGGUGCAACGUGUUCAUGAUUCUUGAAUUAAUCCGAACACCAACCAAAACAACAUCUCUGCUGCCAGUGACUGGAACGAAUUGCAAACAUUGCUGAAGUUGGAGACUUUUAUUUCCCUCACCAACUUUAAACAUCAACUAUCUGAACAGCUAACCGAUCGCUGCAGCUGUACAUUGUCCAUCUGUAAAUAGCCCACCCAAUCUAUCUACCUCAUCCCCAUACUGUUUUUAUUUUAUUUACUUUUCUACUUUUCUGCUUUUGCACACCAGUAUCUCUACUUGCACAUCAUCAUCUGCUGAUUUAUCACUCCAGUGUUAAUCUGCUAAAUUGUAAUUAUUCACUCCUGUGGCCUAUUUAUUGCCUACCUCCUCAAGCCUUUUGCACACACUGUAUAUAGACUUUAUUUUUUCUACUGUGUCAUUGAUUUGUGUAUUGUGUUAUUAGCUUGUUUAUUGUUAACUCCAUGUGUAACUCUGUGUUGUUGUCUGUGUCACACUGCUUUGCUUUAUAUUGGCCAGGUUGCAGUUGCAAAUGAGAACUUGUUCUCAACUUGACUACCUGGUUAAAUAAAGGUGAAAUAAAAAAUAAAAAUAAAUAAAAGUUCAACUACAAUUCCAGUUAACUACAUAAUGAUAUUACAUGUCCUUAGACUUGGUUAGGUGCACAUCUAAUGUACUUCUAUGGUCAUCCUUCAUACUGUAUGAAUUUCUGAGCAAGGAGCUAUUGAAAUUUGAAAUAUUUAAAAAUGCAUAUAAAAUCUUGUGAGAUUAAAAUGGACAAACUGAAGGG
Molecule: long non-coding RNA, 1178 nt
Organism: Oncorhynchus tshawytscha (Chinook salmon)
Lineage: Eukaryota; Metazoa; Chordata; Actinopteri; Salmoniformes; Salmonidae
Source: Ensembl